Molecule: ribosomal RNA, 253 nt
Filed under: uncultured bacterium
Lineage: Bacteria
Description: partial 16S ribosomal RNA
Rfam family: Bacterial small subunit ribosomal RNA
Source: RNAcentral
UACGUAGGGUGCAAGCGUUAAUCGGAAUUACUGGGCGUAAAGCGUGCGCAGGCGGUUGUGUAAGACAGAUGUGAAAUCCCCGGGCUCAACCUGGGAACUGCAUUUGUGACUGCACGGCUGGAGUGCGGCAGAGGGGGAUGGAAUUCCGCGUGUAGCAGUGAAGUGCGUAGAUAUGCGGAGGAACACCGAUGGCGAAGGCAAUCCCCUGGGCCUGCACUGACGCUCAUGCACGAAAGCGUGGGGAGCAAACAGG